Molecule: long non-coding RNA, 1900 nt
Filed under: Nicotiana tabacum (common tobacco)
Lineage: Eukaryota; Viridiplantae; Streptophyta; Magnoliopsida; Solanales; Solanaceae
Description: long non-coding RNA (NTAB_LNC003879)
Source: RNAcentral
UCAAAUUUGGAAAUCGUAUGAGGAUUGUAUGGUCAUUUUACUAAGAAUUAGGUUGCCAGAUUUUUCAGAGUAAUUACUAAAUUGCUUUUGCCGGCGUAUUUAAAAAUCUGCAUUAUUUGCAAAUAUUGAAACCAACAUAUCUCAUUCAUUAUAAGGUCAAAUUGAGUGAUUCAAAAGCUAACUUGACUAGAAUUUCAUAAGGAAUCCAUUGGAGGUAUAAAAUACGAGUUUUGGGAUCGUUUGGCACGAGAAACGAGGCAAUAUAACUGGCAGAAAAAUAUAUAAAACUAGAGUUUGUUCAUUCGGUCAUAUUUUGAGUUGGGGAGCUCGGAUUUGGGCGAUUUUGGAGGCGAUUUUCACCAUAUGGAUUGGGGUAAGUAUUCUUUACUCGAUUUUAAUUAUAUUUCAUGAAUCCAUCUUUGUUUUUGGGGUUUGAUUGAUGAUUUCAAAGUGAAAUUGAGGGAGUUAGGGUUUGAGUUUUGGAGAGUUUCAAGUGAGGAUUUGAGGGACUAAACGGAGUCCGAUUUUGAUAAAUUUUAUAUGGUUAGACUCAGGAGAGGACGAGGGUUUUAAUUCUGCCAUUUUUUUUACUGAAUUCGAGACGUGUGCCCAGGGGCCGAGUUUUGGCCGAUUUCAGAUCUUUGGCAUAUUUUGUAGUUUUUAUUGUGGAAUUCGAUUCUUUAGCACAUGGUGAUGGUAUUGAUCUGAUUAUGGUUAGAUUCAGAGCUUUUGAAGACCGAGUCUAGAGACGUGGGCAUCCCGGAGUAGGAUUUUAUGUGGUUGAGGUAAGUAACAGUUUUAACUCUGGCUUUGAGGGUAUAAACCCAGAGAAUUUGAUAUCAUGUGAUUGUUUGGAGGUGAUACCCAUGCUAGGUGACGGGCGCAUGGGUGUAUACCUCGAGUGAUUGAGACUUGGUCCGUCCCGUGAGGCCCCAUGGCCAUCAUCUGUGUUUACGUAGUUACUUGUUGUUGAACUUGUCUGCUUUCAUGUUAGAGAUCAUGCUUAGGCUUUAUUCAUACUCACAUUAUUUGUACUCAGUCAUAGAAAUUAUUUUACAUGUUUACCUCAGUCUCUAUUAUUUGCUAAUAUAUUGUGAUACUUGAUGUGAGUUGUGUUCUCUUAUUUGUUGAUGAUGGUGAGGCUAGUGAGGUACAUGACUGAGUGAGGCCGAGGGCCUGGUUGUGAGGAUAUUGAUACCAUAGCGCGUGAGUUGUCCGCGUAGCACAUGAGUUGACCGUGCGAAUCCAAGUAUUGAUACCAUAGCGUGUGAGUUGUCCGCGUAGCACGUGAGUUGACCGUGCGAAUCCAGGUAUUGAUAUUACGGCACGUGAGUUGUCUGUGCUUAGCGCUUGGGCUUUGGGAGCCCCUCCGGAGUCUGUACACACCCCCAGUGAGAGCAGAGUGUUGAGUGUUGGGUGCUGAGUGAUGGAGUGACAUUGCUGUGUAGUUGCAUUUACUUUUGUUGUUGUUGCAUUUAUCUGUUAAAUUUCAUUGUGGUAUUUAGUGAGUUAUGGAAUUUACCUGUUUAUUCAUGUUUAUUUUUUUAAAAUUGUGAAAAUAAAUAAUUGGACUGUUUUACUUAGCUCGUCACUACUACUCAGAUCCUUAGUUAUUUCUGUUACUACUAAGGUGGUUGUACUCAUACUACACCCUGCACUUUAUGUGCAGAUCCAGGUGAGUUAUUGCGCGGCGAUCGUUGAGUUCAGGCCGACUAUCUUUGGAGACUGCAAGAUAUCUGCUAGUGUCCGCAGGACCUUGUUACUCCUAUUGUCAUUUCUUCUUUUGGAUAGUUAGACAGUUUAUAUAUCUUAGUUUAUAGUUUUAGAUGCUCAUGACUUAGUGACACCCCGAUGUUUGGGACUCGUUUUCGUAUUUUAUAUUAAUUAUAUUUAGAGUUGG